Molecule: ribosomal RNA, 119 nt
Filed under: Pteropus alecto (black flying fox)
Lineage: Eukaryota; Metazoa; Chordata; Mammalia; Chiroptera; Pteropodidae
Source: RNAcentral
ACUUACAAGCAAUGCCAUCCUGAAUGUGCCCGAUCUCGUCUGAUCUCAGAAGCUAAGCAGGGUCGGGCCUGGUUAGUACUUGGAUGGGAGACACCUAGGAAAACCAGGUGCUGUAGGUG